Molecule: transfer RNA, 78 nt
Filed under: Methanobacteriota archaeon
Lineage: Archaea; Methanobacteriati; Methanobacteriota
Also listed under: 3 other names
Description: Euryarchaeota archaeon (seawater metagenome) tRNA-Pro
Source: RNAcentral
GGGUUUGUGGGUUAGCUUGGCCUAUACUCGGGCGUUUGGGACGCUUGGACCCCAGUUCAAAUCUGGGCAGACCCACCA